AAUGUCUCUUUCACCAGCCUGACAGUCACAUUCACACUGAUGGAGCAUUAGGGGACUUUUAUUCUGUCAGCUGAGAAACACCUGAUCAAUAAUCAUGAGCGCUGACUCUCCUUCACACACAGCCUUUCUGACAGAAGAUCUUCAGUCAAUAUAUUGCUUCAUGUGAAUGAGUAAUCAGGGUUAUUUUCAGAUGCAUGUGUAGUAAAUACAUCAGCCCCAGGUCUCUUACAGUAAACUGCUGAAUACAUGCUUAUAGUGUGUCUUCAUAUUAUUGUAGUGGUUUAGAUCAGUGGUCCCCAACCCCCAGGCAGGUGCUGGUGCGUGGAUCAAUCAGAACCGGGCUGAACAAGAAUUAAUUAUCUUUAAGUU
Danio rerio (zebrafish) is the source of this 369-nucleotide non-coding RNA. NCBI's taxonomy places the organism in Eukaryota, Metazoa, Chordata, Actinopteri, Cypriniformes, Danionidae. The record is from Ensembl.